AGCAUAUCAAUAAGCGGAGGAAAAGAAACUAACCAGGGAUUCCCCUAGUAACUGCGAGUGAAGCGGGAAAAGCUCAAAUUUAAAAUCUGGCGGUCUUUGGCCGUCCGAGUUGUAGUCUGGAGAAGUGCUUUCCGCGCUGGACCGUGUAUAAGUCUCUUGGAACAGAGCGUCAUAGAGGGUGAGAAUCCCGUCUUUGACACGGACUACCAGUGCUUUGUGAUGCGCUCUCAAAGAGUCGAGUUGUUUGGGAAUGCAGCUCAAAAUGGGUGGUGAAUUCCAUCUAAAGCUAAAUAUUGGCGAGAGACCGAUAGCGAACAAGUACCGUGAGGGAAAGAUGAAAAGCACUUUGGAAAGAGAGUUAAACAGUACGUGAAAUUGCUGAAAGGGAAACGCUUGAAGUCAGUCGCGUCGGCCGGAACUCAGCCUUGCUUUUGCUUGGUGCACUUUCCGGUUGACGGGCCAGCAUCGAUUUUGACCGUCGGAAAAGGGCUAGAGUAAUGUGGCACCUCCGGGUGUGUUAUAGACUCUAGUCGCAUACGGCGGUUGGGAUCGAGGAACGCAGCGCGCCGCAAGGCAGGGGUUCGCCCACUUUCGCGCUUAGGAUGCUGGCAUAAUGGCUUUAAACGACCCGUCUUGAAACACGGACCAAGGAGUCUAACAUACCUGCGAGUGUUUGGGUGGAAAACCCGAGCGCGUAAUGAAAGUGAAAGUUGGGACCUCUGUCGUGGAGGGCACCGACGCCCGGACCUGACGUUCUCUGACGGAUCCGCGGUAGAGCAUGUAUGUUGGGACCCGAAAGAUGGUGAACUAUGCCUGAAUAGGGUGAAGCCAGAGGAAACUCUGGUGGAGGCUCGUAGCGAUUCUGACGUGCAAAUCGAUCGUCAAAUUUGGGUAUAGGGGGCGAAAGACUAAUCGAACCUCUAGUGCUGG
RNAcentral lists this ribosomal RNA (930 nucleotides) under Tropicoporia centrali-africana. RNAcentral's name for it is "eukaryotic LSU rRNA". It matches the Rfam family "Eukaryotic large subunit ribosomal RNA", at positions 37 to 954 of the family's 3401-position model. The record is from RNAcentral. Lineage: Eukaryota; Fungi; Basidiomycota; Agaricomycetes; Polyporales; Polyporaceae.